AAAAAAUCAACGUGUGAACUUUUUCAACCCCCGAAGGAAUUGCAAACCUGUAAAUGGUGAGCAAAAUAUAUUGUAGAGAAAAAAGAAAAAGAAAUUAAAAUUAAAAGGAAGAAAAUGUUACAGAAAAUGUGAUUGCAGAUGGCUGUGAAGGAAGAAAGAAAGAAUGGACAUAUAUAGAUUGGCACUGAAAAGUAUGCAAAAAAGUUACGAAG
This 212-nucleotide unclassified non-coding RNA is filed under the name Hevea brasiliensis (rubber tree). Lineage: Eukaryota; Viridiplantae; Streptophyta; Magnoliopsida; Malpighiales; Euphorbiaceae. The record is from RNAcentral.